AACCCGUGGGGUGGGCAUUUUAUAGUAAGCUCUUUAAACUUCUCCCAACUAUUGGUGAAUCUUUCACCUUCUUUCUGUCUGAAAUUGGUGAUCUAUAGAUGGAGGGC
Non-coding RNA from Corylus avellana, 107 nucleotides. The record is from RefSeq and is a predicted model, not a curated record. Lineage: Eukaryota; Viridiplantae; Streptophyta; Magnoliopsida; Fagales; Betulaceae.